GGCAGACGCGGUGAGUAAUAGCGUGGGAAUCUACCCAACUCUACGGAACAACUGAAGUGAAACUUCAGCUAAUACCUGUAUACGCCCUACGGGGGAAAGAUUUAUCGGAGUUGGAUGAGCCCGCGUUGGAUUAGCUAGUUGGUGGGGUAAUGGCCUACCAAGGCGACGAUCCAUAGCUGGUCUGAGGGGAUGAUCAGCCACACUGGGACUGAGACACGGGUCCAGAUCUCAUACGGGAGGCAGCAGUGGGGAAUAUUGGACAAUGGGCGAAAGCCUGAUCCAGCCAUGCCGCGUGAGUGAUGAAGGCCUUAGGGUUGUCAAAGCUCUUUCAGUGGGGAAGAUAAUGACGGUCCCACAGAAGAAGCCCCGGUAACUUCGUGCCAGCCGC
RNAcentral lists this ribosomal RNA (388 nucleotides) under uncultured bacterium. RNAcentral's name for it is "bacterial SSU rRNA". It matches the Rfam family "Bacterial small subunit ribosomal RNA", at positions 97 to 515 of the family's 1533-position model. The record is from RNAcentral.